UCUUAGAUUCCUUAAUUUGAU
Molecule: non-coding RNA, 21 nt
Filed under: Caenorhabditis elegans
Lineage: Eukaryota; Metazoa; Nematoda; Chromadorea; Rhabditida; Rhabditidae
Source: RNAcentral